This 1211-nucleotide ribosomal RNA is filed under the name Aphelida sp. RNAcentral's name for it is "SSU rRNA". It matches the Rfam family "Eukaryotic small subunit ribosomal RNA", at positions 474 to 1707 of the family's 1831-position model. The record is from RNAcentral. Lineage: Eukaryota; Fungi; Aphelidiomycota.
UAAAUAACAAUACAGGGCCCACCGGGUCUUGUAAUUGGAAUGAGUACAAGUUAAAGCUCUUAAUGAGGAACAACUAGAGGACAAGUCUGGUGCCAGCAGCCGCGGUAAUUCCAGCUCUAGUAGCGUAUAUUAAAGUUGUUGCAGUUAAAAAGCUCGUAGUUGAUUGUGAAGUGUCGGCGGGUGGUAUACCUUUGUGGUGUCACUGCCAGCUGGUGCUUGGAGUGGGGUGUGGUCUGUGUGGUCUUGAGUGGCUGCAUGGUACUUGGAUCUCAGUGAUUACUGUGAACAAAUUAGAGUGUUUAAAGCAGGCAGCAGAGGCUUGAAUACAUUAGCAUGGAAUAACUGAAUAGGCUCUGGGGCUAUUUAGUUGGUUUUGGGUGGCUCAGAGAAUGAUUAAGAGGAACAGUUGGGGGCAUUAGUAUUUGGCAGCUAGAGGUGAAAUUCGUGGACCUGCCAAAGACUCACUACUGCGAAAGCAUCUGCCAAGGAUGUUUUCAUUAAUCAAGAACGAAAGUUAAGGGAUCGAAGACGAUUAGAUACCGUCGUAGUCUUAACCAUAAACUAUGUCGACUCAGAGUUGCUGCUCAGUUGCUUGAUGCUGGCAGCAGUGCUGUGUGGGAAACCAAAGUGUUUGGAGUUUGGGGGGUGUACAGUUGCAAGUCUGAAACUUAAAGGAAUUGACGGAAGGGCACCACCAGGAGUGGAUUAUGCGGCUUAAUUUGACUCAACACGGGACAACUUAUCAGGUCAGAACAUAGUGAGGAUUGACAGAUUGAGAGCUCUCUCUUGAUUCUAUGGGUGGUGGUGCAUGGCCGUUCUUAGUUGGUGGAGUGAUUUGUCUGGUUAAUUCCGAUAACGAACGAGACCUUAACCUGCUAACUAGAGCGUGGAAGUCUAGGCUUCCAGCGUUCUUCUUAGAGGGACUGUCGGUGUCUAACCGACGGAGGCUUGAGGCAAUAACAGGUCUGUGAUGCCCUUAGAUGUUCUGGGCCGCACGCGUGAUACACUGAUGCAGUCAGCGAGUCUGUUGCCUUGUCUGAGAGGACUGGGUAAUCUUGUGAAACUGUGUCGUGCUGGGGAUAGACCCUUGUAAUUAUUGGUCUUGAACGAGGAAUUCCUAGUAAGCGCAGGUCAUCAGCCUGUGUUGAUUAUGUCCCUGCCCUUUGUACACACCGCCCGUCGCUAGUACCGAUUGAAUGGCUUAGUGAGGC